GGGGCUGUAGCUCAGUGGUAGAGCGCUCCCCUAGCAUGGGCGGGACUUGGGUUCGAUCCUCAGCAUCACA
This 70-nucleotide transfer RNA is filed under the name Marmota monax (woodchuck). RNAcentral's name for it is "tRNA.Ala". It matches the Rfam family "tRNA". Rfam says of the family: Transfer RNA (tRNA) molecules are approximately 80 nucleotides in length. Lineage: Eukaryota; Metazoa; Chordata; Mammalia; Rodentia; Sciuridae. The record is from RNAcentral.